This 915-nucleotide ribosomal RNA is filed under the name Ostropomyces thailandicus. Its description in RNAcentral is "partial large subunit ribosomal RNA". It matches the Rfam family "Eukaryotic large subunit ribosomal RNA", at positions 72 to 981 of the family's 3401-position model. The record is from RNAcentral. Lineage: Eukaryota; Fungi; Ascomycota; Lecanoromycetes; Ostropales; Stictidaceae.
GGAUUCCUCGUACGGCGAGGAAGCGGCACAGCUCAAAUUUGAAUCUGGCCUCGCGCCCGAGUGUAUUUGUAGAGGAUGUUUCGGGUGCAUCUCCGGUUCUAAGUCCCUGGAACAGGGCGUCAUAGAGGGUGAGAAUCCCGUACGUGACCGGUUGAUAAUCCCAUGUGAAGCUCCUUCGAAGAGUCGAGUUGUUUGGGAAUGCAGCUCAAAAUGGGUGGUAAAUUUCAUCUAAAGCUAAAUAUUGGCCAGAGACCGAUAGCGCACAAGUAGAGUGAUCGAAAGAUGAAAAGCACUUUGGAAAGAGAGUUAAAAAGUACGUGAAAUUGUUGAAAGGGAAGCGCUUGCAACCAGACUCGCCCGGGGGUGAUCAGCCGUCCUUUUGGGCGGUGCACUUUCCCCCGGUCGGGCCAGCAUCGAUUCGGGCGGUAGGACAAAGGUUCCGGGAACGUGGCUCGCUUCGGCGAGUGUUAUAGCCCGGAGCGUAAUGCUACCAGCCUGGAUCGAGGACCGCGCUUCGGCUAGGAUGCUGGCGUAAUGGUUGUCAGCGACCCGUCUUGAAACACGGACCAAGGAGUCGACCAACUCUGCGAGUGUUUGGGUGUUAAACCCGUGCGCGUAAUGAAAGUGAACGGAGGUGAGAUCCCGCAAGGGCGCAUCAUCGACCGAUCCUGAUGUCUUCGGAUGGAUUUGAGUAAGAGCAUAGCUGGUCGGACCCGAAAGAUGGUGAACUAUGCGUGAAUAGGGUGAAGCCAGAGGAAACUCUGGUGGAGGCUCGCAGCGGUUCUGACGUGCAAAUCGAUCGUCAAAUUUGCGUAUAGGUAUGUUUGAAGAAUCGACCGCCUCGGAAGUCUGGGCCGAUGUUUUCUUCUUUCCCCUCCCUCAUGACAUUGGAAUCAUUUACUAAUUUGUGAAUAA